This 27-nucleotide non-coding RNA is filed under the name Mus musculus (house mouse). The record is from RNAcentral. Lineage: Eukaryota; Metazoa; Chordata; Mammalia; Rodentia; Muridae.
UAGGCCAAUGAAGUUCCACGUGAGAGA